UUUUGCCAUGUAGCAUUCUCUAAGCCUCACCCCAUCGAAUUUUUCCCGCUCCUAUCAUCGUAACUGAAUUUCCGAAAUUGCCACUCCUAAUUUUGAAAUCAAAUUCGUCUGGUAACUGAUAAGACUUUCCAAUUUGUGGCCGAGAUAUCAGCUACUGAUCACUGGAAUUUGAGACCACCAUCCUCCCUCACCAUAAACCCUAUUCUCUCCACCCUCUUUAAAAAUCUCAUCAAUCUCAGGACGUGGUUCUCAAUUUUGACACAUAUAUUAAUCUUGAAGGAAAUCCAAUUUGAUUUUCAUCUAUAUUCGUCGUCACUCAUCCUUCAACAUGAUAGAAAACAUAACCUUGUCAUCAAAGUUUUCAUCUUAGUUUUUUCUAAUAAGCAAUGUACCGUCAACAAAAACCCUAGACAUCGUCUCCGCUACUCUCUUUGAAAACCAUAGAUCCCCAACCGUCGCUGUCACCCGGGCUUCACCAUGAAAAAUAAAUCAUAAACCCACACUGUAGGUACAAUGAUCUUGCUAUGAUCAAUCCGAGAAUUCACUCUCUCAGUCAAAAGGGCCCAUAUAAGGUUAAACACAUAAUCAUUGGUGGUCCAUAUAAGGAUGAUUGAAGUGUAAUUUUUAAAGAGGAUGUUGCAAGUGUUUUUUUUUUUUUUUUUUUUUUUUUUUUUUUUUUUUAAAUUUAAACAGGGACCAUCCUUCAAAUAUUUUUAUUUAUGAGAGGGAGCAUUCCAGUAAUUUGUAUAUCAGGGAAUGAAUGGAUGAGAUUUUUUCCAAAAAAUGACAGUUAUGACACUUUUUUUUUGUCAAUUUAGUCAUUUUGAUGUUUUUUUUUGAUAAAUUUGAUUGUUAUAUUUUAUUUUUUUUAUUGUUAUUACGGAUUUACAGGCUUGAAACCUACCUAAUUGCACAAUUUUACUUUAUUCUGUUUUCCAAGUUAUUAUGGUGUUCUUUUUUUUAUUAUUAUUAUGGCAUCCUACAUUGUAAUAAACGGCAAAGUAUUAUUAUUGCAUUGUACUUUAUUUUUUUCUCCAAAUUAUUAUGGCAUUCUAUUUUUUUAUGGUAAAAAAUGGCUGUUUUGGCAUAAGGUGACAAUGGUUUAAAAAAAAGUUGAGUUUACAUGCAAAAAGAGCAUUUUAAAGCAAAUUAUUGCAUUUUAAACCAACAUUUUUAUAUCAAGUACAAUUGACUAAAAUGAGCACAUUCUUGUCAAAAUGGGACAAUUUGACAAAGUGAAAUUGGUAAAAAUAUGGCUUGUGUUGGCAUUUGGUAAAAAUUGUGUAAACCGAACAUAUUUUGGUCAAAAUGGGAUUGUUUUAGUAAGGUGAAAAUUUUGCAAAAAUUGCAUUUUCAAAGCAUUUUAUAACAAUGUACUUCUAAUAGAAAAGGUAUUUUAAUAUAAAGUAAAAAUGAAUUAAAAAUAACCAUGAUAUAGCUACAGAUUGUUGGGUUAAUCUUGAUGGU
Non-coding RNA from Lactuca sativa (garden lettuce), 1467 nucleotides. The record is from RefSeq and is a predicted model, not a curated record. NCBI's taxonomy places the organism in Eukaryota, Viridiplantae, Streptophyta, Magnoliopsida, Asterales, Asteraceae.